AAUAUCUCAACAAAAAGCUUGUGCUUUUGCAUAGGAUUCUUUUUGGACAUUGGGAGUUGCUGGCUACUGUUAAAGUGGUUGGCUCUUCUGAAAUGAAUUAGUUGAGGAGCUUUGCACUCUAUUGGUGUGAUAGACUAUCUAUGCCAUGAGAUGCUUUUUAAUGAUCCUCUGCCUUCUAACUGUCUUUAAUCGGACAACAUGAUAA
Molecule: unclassified non-coding RNA, 205 nt
Filed under: uncultured Amanita
Lineage: Eukaryota; Fungi; Basidiomycota; Agaricomycetes; Agaricales; Amanitaceae
Description: sequence contains ITS2
Source: RNAcentral